AGCCCUAAGUGGGUGGUAAACUCCAUCUAAGGCUAAAUAUGACCACGAGACCGAUAGCGAACAAGUACCGUGAGGGAAAGUUGAAAAGCACUUUGAAGAGAGAGUUCAAGAGUACGUGAAACCGUUUAGGGGUAAACCUGAGAAACCCGAAAGGUCGAAGGGAGAAAUUCAUUCGCGUUUCGAGGCAGGCACCGGACGGUGUUGUGCGACGGGGAGCGUCCGCGUUCUCCGCGCCCUCCGUUCGGCGAUCCGGCAGCGAACGCGUGCACUUUUCUCCUGGUAGGACGUCGCGAUCCGUUGGGUGUCGGUCUACGGCUCGAGGUGGAGCCCGUCGGUCUUCGUGACCGACGAACCCUCGAUGUCCCGGCCGACUCGCUCGACGGUAUGCGAAAGGUUUGAGGCCGCUCUCGGAGCGUCCGGCUCGCGGCAAGCGCGUCUGUUGCGUCGGCGAUCGGACCUAGUGCCGAUUCUGACCUCCGACGACUGUUGGCCGCGAACGCCUCGGACAGACCUCAGACCGAUCUGCGACGCUAUAGCUUUGGGUACUUUCAG
Molecule: ribosomal RNA, 552 nt
Filed under: Trachodes hispidus
Lineage: Eukaryota; Metazoa; Arthropoda; Insecta; Coleoptera; Curculionidae
Description: eukaryotic LSU rRNA
Rfam family: Eukaryotic large subunit ribosomal RNA
Source: RNAcentral